GUGGGGAAUCUUAGACAAUGGGGGAAACCCUGAUCUAGCCAUGCCGCGUGAGCGAUGAAGGCCUUAGGGUUGUAAAGCUCUUUCAGCUGGGAAGAUAAUGACUGUACCAGCAGAAGAAGCCCCGGCUAACUCCGUGCCAGCAGCCGCGGUAAUACGGAGGGGGCUAGCGUUGUUCGGAAUUACUGGGCGUAAAGCGCACGUAGGCGGACCGGAAAGUCAGAGGUGAAAUCACAGGGCUCAACCUUGGAACUGCCUUUGAAACUCCUGGUCUUGAGGUCGAGAGAGGUGAGUGGAAUUCCGAGGGUAGAGGUGAAAUUCGUAGAUAUUCGGAGGAACACCAGUGGCGAAGGCGGCUCACUGGCUCGAUACUGACGCUGAGGUGCGAAAGCGUGGGGAGCAAACAGGAUUAGAAACCCCGGUAGUCC
This 425-nucleotide ribosomal RNA is filed under the name uncultured bacterium. RNAcentral describes it as "bacterial SSU rRNA". It matches the Rfam family "Bacterial small subunit ribosomal RNA", at positions 354 to 796 of the family's 1533-position model. The record is from RNAcentral.